UUUGUGUGAGUUUAUACUUGAAACAUUGAGGACAAUGUUUGAUUUAAGUGUGGGGGGGUAACCAUUGUUUUGCAUAAAAUUCGUAGGAGUUUAUCACCCAUUACUUCUAAUGUUGUGCCUUGCUCUUUUAAGUGUUUUCAAGCUGUUUUGGAGUGUUUCAGUGUAUUUUGACAUAAAAAUCCAAAAAUCUCAUAAAAAUUCGAAAAAUUAUUUUGAACAAACCGAAAAGAGAGUUGUUUUUAUUUGUUUAUUUUGUGUCUUAGGGUACCUUCCAACAUAAUGAUGAGGAUUUGGUUUUUAAUUACAUGACUGUUAAAGAGAAUUAUAAACAUGGAUGAAAGUUUGAUAUGCUCUUUGGUUUAUACUUGGU
Molecule: long non-coding RNA, 370 nt
Filed under: Malus domestica (apple)
Lineage: Eukaryota; Viridiplantae; Streptophyta; Magnoliopsida; Rosales; Rosaceae
Description: long non-coding RNA (MDOM_LNC015421)
Source: RNAcentral